Molecule: ribosomal RNA, 236 nt
Filed under: uncultured Actinomycetales bacterium
Lineage: Bacteria; Bacillati; Actinomycetota; Actinomycetes; Actinomycetales
Description: partial 16S ribosomal RNA
Rfam family: Bacterial small subunit ribosomal RNA
Source: RNAcentral
GGCGAACGGGUGAGUAACACGUGAGUAACCUGCCCACAACUUUGGGAUAACGCUAGGAAACUGGUGCUAAUACUGGAUAUGUGCUCCUGCUGCAUGGUGGGGGUUGGAAAGCUCCGGCGGUCGUGGAUGGACUCGCGGCCUAUCAGCUUGUUGGUGGGGUAGUGGCCUACCAAGGCGGCGACGGGUAGCCGGCCUGAGAGGGUGACCGGCCACAUUGGGACUGAGAUACGGCCCAG